CGGAGCGGCGUCAUCCUGCAGAUCUAGCGAGGAGCAGGCGCGCCUUCCGAGGCGCUCGCUCCUUCGGUUAGCGACCUGGGCCGGGGAGGAAACAAGGUGCACCCCAGCUUUGCAGUCGGGGGACGGCCCGUGUCUGUGCAAAGGAGGGACGGGCCGCUCCUGGAACCGCCGCGCAGAGGUCGGGCGGCCUUACUCAAGCAGCCCCACGCCCGGCCAGCCUGCUGUGCUACUUGGAAACGCGCUUUCUUUGUGUUUCUUUCUUUAGUCGCUGUUACCCAUCUGUGGAUAUUAUGGGGGGAAAAGGAAAAGAAAACCGCCGCUUCCUAUUCAUUGUCUGUCGUCAUCACUGGCUUCACAGCCGCCAGCGCUGGGGAGCUGGCAAGUUUGAGGAAUUCCCGAGAUACUGCCCAGAGUGUUUCACGAGAGAAGUCAGCCGCUGCGGACGAGCCAGAUUACCCAGACCCGCUUCCUUUUAGGUUCCCCUCCUGCAGAGAGAAAGAGAGUGAGCAGGGGAGAAGCAGAGGGAGAGGGAGACAAUCUCCAGCCGACUUUGCACUGAGCGCUGAGCGCAGAGUGUGAUGUGGACGGAUUCCCGGACACUGAGACUGUGACCUGAGCUGAAAACAGGAGUCUGACACUUAACCGAAAUGUGCC
This 654-nucleotide long non-coding RNA is filed under the name Mustela putorius furo (domestic ferret). RNAcentral describes it as "lncRNA (ENSMPUG00000026705.1)". Lineage: Eukaryota; Metazoa; Chordata; Mammalia; Carnivora; Mustelidae. The record is from RNAcentral.